GAAAAACGGCAGCAUAAGAAGAAGGACUUAUAAUGACUGGUCAUGGGCUGAACAUUAUCAGUUAAGCAGGCAGCAAGAGGAGAUGUUUGGCAGUUUGGAUCCUUUGAGAUGCUAUUUUGUGGAAUGAUUGCAUUAGUUGAGGAAUCUCCUGCAAAGCGGAACUGCUUGACCGGCCAUCUAUAUUGAAUUUUGGGAAUGUGUGACAUCAGUGUUUGUUUUGCUGUGGGUUGUGGUGGAGAACAGUAUGAUUCAUCAUAUGAGAUACUGAACAAUGCUGUUUUCCAUGUGUCUCUGCCCUGGUGUGUGAAUGCUUGUGACAGGUUUACAUUACUGCAUGACCUAAGGCUUGACAGAGAUGUUGUCUUUUGUUCACAUUGUAUGAUUCGGUUAACUAUACUUUGCAUUAUAACCACAAGCAUGAUGAAUACCUUUCAAAAUUGAGGUUAAUUGUCAUUUUUAUACAGUGGGGGAAAUAUUUAUUUGAUCCCCUGCUGAUUUUGCAAGUUUGCCCACUUACAAAGAAAUGAAGGGUCUUUAAUUUUUAUGGUAGGUUAAGGUUGAUUUUAACGUAUAGAGACAGAAUACCAACCAAAAAUCC
Long non-coding RNA from Cyprinus carpio carpio, 598 nucleotides. Lineage: Eukaryota; Metazoa; Chordata; Actinopteri; Cypriniformes; Cyprinidae. The record is from Ensembl.